This 578-nucleotide long non-coding RNA is filed under the name Sus scrofa (pig). RNAcentral's name for it is "lncRNA (ENSSSCG00040074278.1, ENSSSCG00065050328.1)". Lineage: Eukaryota; Metazoa; Chordata; Mammalia; Artiodactyla; Suidae. The record is from RNAcentral.
CACCUCAGUGUUAAAUAUGAACCCAAGCUUUGAAGACAGAAGAGCCGAGCUCCGCCCUUAAGAAACUUAACAUUCUCUUCAAAGAACACCACUAUGAAUUAAUUAAUCAGCAUCACUAAAAACAUCCACAAGUGUAACUGAGCCCAAGUGCAGGGCUCUAGGCAGGCUGUGUAACUGGGGCAACUGAUCAGAUGUGUGCUAGGCAGGCUGUGUAACUGGGGCAUCUGGUCGUGUGUGCAGGGUGUGACACUUAAACUGAGGUCUGAGCACUAACUGGGAGCUAACCAGACAGAGAGACAGAGCAGGCCCGGAAGAGAGACCAGCCAUACAGCAAGCCUUGAGAGGAGGCUGGCUCCCACCCCGGAUCAUGACAAAGUGACAGAAUUGGAGUCACUGGAUCAAAGGGAAUUAGGAAAUCUGCUUUUCAAUAAUCCAAGGAUCAAAUAAGAAAUUACAAUGGAAAUGAGAAUAUAUUUUGAAUACUAAAAACAUGUCAAAGUUCAUGGGUUGCAGUUAAAGCCUUGUUUUAGAAGGAAAUUUAUCACUUAAGAAGUUAAUAAAGACUGAAAAUCAAUUCA